Molecule: transfer RNA, 80 nt
Filed under: Phintella cavaleriei
Lineage: Eukaryota; Metazoa; Arthropoda; Arachnida; Araneae; Salticidae
Description: tRNA-Met
Source: RNAcentral
AAUAAGGUCAGCUAAUAAAGCUAAUGAGUUCAUACCUCAUAUAUGAAUAGAUUAUAAUUUCUUCAGUUUAUUGCUUUAUA